GGCCUCGUAGAUCAGCUGGUAGAGCAUGUGCAUGCGAAGCUUAGGCGGCAUCAAUGCGUGGGUUCGAAUCCCACCUAGGCCA
This 82-nucleotide transfer RNA is filed under the name Echinostoma caproni. It matches the Rfam family "tRNA". Rfam says of the family: Transfer RNA (tRNA) molecules are approximately 80 nucleotides in length. Their secondary structure includes four short double-helical elements and three loops (D, anti-codon, and T loops). Lineage: Eukaryota; Metazoa; Platyhelminthes; Trematoda; Plagiorchiida; Echinostomatidae. The record is from Rfam by way of RNAcentral.